AGUCGUAACAAGGUUUCCGUAGGUGAACCUGCGGAAGGAUCAUUACAAAUAAAGCUGGUAGGAAGUGGGGUCUUGAUCUGUAAGUGGUAGAGCGAACAGUCCGGCUGCCUCCCGAAAAUGUCUUACAUGUCCCCCCACAGCCCUGAAGGCCGAAUUACAAACCCUUGAUUAUCUACACUUGUUUGCUUUGGGGGUGCUCAAGUGCCCCCAGAAGGACCCAAACUCUCCUGCAUUUAGUGACGUCUAGUAACUAUAUAAUAAUUUAAAA
This 268-nucleotide unclassified non-coding RNA is filed under the name plant metagenome. RNAcentral describes it as "partial contains small subunit ribosomal RNA and internal transcribed spacer 1". The stretch from base 1 to 45 matches the Rfam family "Eukaryotic small subunit ribosomal RNA", at positions 1787 to 1831 of the family's 1831-position model. The record is from RNAcentral.